RNAcentral lists this ribosomal RNA (567 nucleotides) under uncultured bacterium. Its description in RNAcentral is "bacterial SSU rRNA". It matches the Rfam family "Bacterial small subunit ribosomal RNA", at positions 108 to 689 of the family's 1533-position model. The record is from RNAcentral.
GAGUAACACGUGGGCAACCUGCCUGAGAGUGCGGAAUAACCCUGCGAAAGCAGAGCUAAUACUGCAUGUGGUUGUCGGAUGGCAUCAUCUGACAACUAAAGUCGCAAGACGCUCUCAGAUGGGCCCGCGGCCUAUUAGCUAGUUGGUGAGGUAACGGCCCACCAAGGCGAUGAUGGGUAGCUGGUCUGAGAGGACGGACAGCCACACUGGGACUGAGACACGGCCCAGACUCCUACGGGAGGCAGCAGUGAGGAAUUUUCCGCAAUGGGCGAAAGCCUGACGGAGCAACGCCGCGUGAGGGAUGAAGUCUCUAGGGAUGUAAACCUCUGUUGGGUGGGACGAAGAUCUGACGGUACCACCUGAGGAAGCCCCGGCUAACUACGUGCCAGCAGCCGCGGUAAUACGUAGGGGGCGAGCGUUAUCCGGAUUUACUGGGUGUAAAGAGCGCGUAGGCGGUUCCGUAAGUUGGUUGUGAAAGUUCGAGGCUCAACCUCGAAACUGCGUCCAAUACUGCGGGGCUGGAGUGCAAGAGAGGCAAGUGGAAUUCCAGGUGUAGUAGUGAAAUGC